GACGAACGCUGGCGGCGUGCUUAACACAUGCAAGUCGAACGGAAAGGCCCUGCUUUUGUGGGGUGCUCGAGUGGCGAACGGGUGAGUAACACGUGAGUAACCUGCCCUUGACUUUGUGAUAACUUCAGGAAACUGCGGCUAAUACCGGAUAGGAGCUCCUGCUGCAUGGUGGGGGUUGGAAAGUUUCGGCGGUUGGGGAUGGACUCGAGGUUUAUCAGCUUGUUGGUGGGGUAGUGGCUUACCAAGGCUUUGACGGGUAGCCGGCCUGGGAGGGAGACCGGCCACAUUGGGACUGGGAUACGGACCAGACGCCUACGUGAGGCAGCGGUGGAGAAUAUGGCACAAUGGGCGGAGGCCUGAUGCAAGAACGCCGGGUGCGGGAUGACGGCCUUCGGGGUGGAAACCGCGUUCGCUAGUAACGAAGCGUGAGGGACGGUAAUGGGUAAAGAAGCACCGGCUAACUACGU
Molecule: ribosomal RNA, 467 nt
Filed under: uncultured bacterium
Lineage: Bacteria
Description: partial 16S ribosomal RNA
Rfam family: Bacterial small subunit ribosomal RNA
Source: RNAcentral